GAUGUAGCUCAGUGGUAGAGUGCUUGCCUACCAUGCAUAAGGCCUUGGGCUCAAUCCCCAGCACA
This 65-nucleotide transfer RNA is filed under the name Marmota monax (woodchuck). RNAcentral's name for it is "tRNA.Gly". It matches the Rfam family "tRNA", at positions 6 to 65 of the family's 71-position model. Rfam says of the family: Transfer RNA (tRNA) molecules are approximately 80 nucleotides in length. Their secondary structure includes four short double-helical elements and three loops (D, anti-codon, and T loops). Lineage: Eukaryota; Metazoa; Chordata; Mammalia; Rodentia; Sciuridae. The record is from RNAcentral.